GGGGAAUAUUGGACAAUGGGCGAAAGCCUGAUCCAACGACGCCGCGUGGGUGAAGAAGGCCUUCGGGUUGUAAAGCCCUUUAAGCCGGGACGAAAAAGCUGCACCUAACACGUGCGGCCUUGACGGUACCGGAAGAAGAAGCACCGGCCAACUACGUGCCAGCAGCCGCGGUAAUACGUAGGGUGCAAGCGUUGUCCGGAAUUAUUGGGCGUAAAGAGCUCGUAGGUGGUCUGUUGCGUCGGCUGUGAAAACCCGGGGCUCAACCCCGGGCCUGCAGCCGAUACGGGCAGACUAGAGUUCGGCAGGGGAGACUGGAAUUCCUGGUGUAGCGGUGAAAUGCGCAGAUAUCAGGAGGAACACCGGUGGCGAAGGCGGGUCUCUGGGCCGAAACUGACACUGAGGAGCGAAAGCGUGGGGAGCGAA
RNAcentral lists this ribosomal RNA (423 nucleotides) under uncultured bacterium. RNAcentral describes it as "bacterial SSU rRNA". It matches the Rfam family "Bacterial small subunit ribosomal RNA", at positions 356 to 772 of the family's 1533-position model. The record is from RNAcentral.